This 253-nucleotide ribosomal RNA is filed under the name uncultured bacterium. RNAcentral's name for it is "partial 16S ribosomal RNA". It matches the Rfam family "Bacterial small subunit ribosomal RNA", at positions 524 to 776 of the family's 1533-position model. The record is from RNAcentral.
CACGGGGGGAGCAAGCGUUGUUCGGAAUCACUGGGCGUAAAGGGCGUGUAGGCGGUCAGGUAAGUGGGAUGUGAAAGCCCUCGGCUCACCCGAGGAUCUGCAUCUCAAACUGCCUGGCUUGAGUAUGGGAGAGGAUGAGGGAAUUCCUGGUGUAGCGGUGAAAUGCGUAGAUAUCUGGAGGAACACCGGUGGCGAAGGCGACAUCCUGGACCGGUAUUGACGCUGAGGCGCGAAAGCCAGGGGAGCAAACGGG